Molecule: long non-coding RNA, 793 nt
Filed under: Panax ginseng (ginseng)
Lineage: Eukaryota; Viridiplantae; Streptophyta; Magnoliopsida; Apiales; Araliaceae
Description: long non-coding RNA (PGIN_LNC012720)
Source: RNAcentral
CUAACCCCAAAUCAAAAAUCACAAAUCACAAGAAUAACAAAGCAAAAAACCAAGUCCGCAACACAAUCCAUAAUCUCAACGGCGAUUCGUCUCGAUCCCUCUGCAACUACACAAUCUGAGCAAUCUUAGCGACUAUUCCUCUCGAUUCCUCUGCAACUACACAAUCUCAGCGGCGAUUCCUCUAGCAAAACCCUUCAAUACUCGAGCGUAGAAGAUUUGUCGGUGAGUUUUCGAAUUAUAAGAAUUUUCCGGUGAGUUUUCGAAUUAUAAGGUUAAGAAUUAAAAACUGUGAAUUGGUAACCUAUCUAUCUUUGUCCAAAAAAUGGAUACUAUGAUUGCUUGGUUCACAUAAAAGAAGAUUGGGUAUAUGUGCUAUUAAUCUUGUUUUGUGUUUGGAUUUUGCUAUUUAUGUUGGGAAUCUCAGUGUUUACCCCUGUAAAAUAUUUUAUUUGUUUUUAAAUAGUACUGAAAACAAGUAAAAAAUGAUUUUUUUUACUCGGAGUUGCAUGACUGAUUUUUUGUGUUUUUAAUUGACCAAGUAUAUUUGGCCAAGUACCAUGAUUGAUUACUUAGAACAUCAAUAUCAUUGAUAGCAUAUGCACAAAAGAGAUACCUGCUUGAAUUUUUUUGAUAAGAACAGUGUUUGGUAAUUAAGCAAGGAUCUUUGAUGAUAGAAUGCCAGUAUUUGCAAUUGGAUGUAAAUCGCAACAGAGACUUUAUGCAAGGUAAUUUUUCAAGAAUCUGCAUUAAAAUAUCUAUGUAGUAAGGAGUAAUUCGCAACAACCAUUGUUAG